RNAcentral lists this non-coding RNA (29 nucleotides) under Rattus norvegicus (Norway rat). Lineage: Eukaryota; Metazoa; Chordata; Mammalia; Rodentia; Muridae. The record is from RNAcentral.
UGGGUUAUGCAGCCAUGCCGGUGAAUAGC